GACGAACGCUGGCGGCGUGCUUAACACAUGCAAGUCGAACGGAAAGGCCCUGCUUUUGUGGGGUGCUCGAGUGGCGAACGGGUGAGUAACACGUGAGUAACCUGCCCUUGACUUUGUGAUAACUUUAGGAAACUGGGGCUAAUACCGCAUAGGAGCUCCUGCUGCAUGGUGUUGGUUGGAAAGUUUCGGCGGUUGGGGAUGUACUCGCUGCUUAUCAGCUUGUUGGUGGGGUAGUGGAUUACCAAGGCUUUGACGGGUAGCCGGCCUGAGAGGGUGACCGGCCACACUGGGACUGAGAUACGGCCCAGACUCCUAAGGGAGGCAGCAGUGGGGAAUAUUGAACGAGGGGCGGAAGGCUGAUGCAGCAACGCCGCGUGCGGGAUAACGGCCUUCGGGUUGAAAACCACUUUCGCCUGUAACGAAGCGUGAGUGACGGUAAUGGGUACAGAAGCACCGGCUAACUACGUG
This 468-nucleotide ribosomal RNA is filed under the name uncultured bacterium. RNAcentral's name for it is "partial 16S ribosomal RNA". It matches the Rfam family "Bacterial small subunit ribosomal RNA", at positions 28 to 507 of the family's 1533-position model. The record is from RNAcentral.